UUGCCUAAAAAAAUAACUUCUUCUCAAAAAAAAAAAACUGCGCGAGAGGAAGGAAGGAGCAGAACGGUGGGGGACGGAGCGCCGCAUCUCCGGCCGGUGGAGGAGGAGGAGGAGAAAAUAUUGGCGGCUUGGCGCAACCUUCUUCCUCCUCCCCCACCCACUUACCGGCCUCACAUUUGGAGCCAGUACGGGCUCGGGCGGCAAAUAUGGACUGGGAGCAGACCAAGACGCGGAGGCCGUCCGGGUGGAGCGAGAGCUUCUCAAAGGUGAAAGCUCGACCAUAUACUCGUUGAGAUGGCAAGGCUGGAGAAGCUCUAUAAAAUGCACACAUGUACUAAGGGGGUUAUUACUGGAGCUCCACUGGACCCGCAAAAUAGAGGCUAUAUCUACUAGCGCAAGCAGAGAAACAGAAACAGAAACAGGAAACUGUACCAUUGAAUCCAUUAACCCGGAUGUAGAGGUACAACUCAUAAAUGAUUUUUGCGCUGGAGGAGGUGAUAGCACAACCAUAUACUCGCUAAGAUGGCAAGGCUGUGUCAGGACUCAGGACCCAAGUAUGUGUUCUUUGAAGAAUUCAACACUGCAUCGUCGAUUCAGUUAAGUUUGAAUUUGAACGAGACAACUCUGACGCUCCUCCUGUCUCCGUACCCCUUCGCUAGUUAUGAAGACCCAGAUGGCGUCUGAUCAGCACCUAACGGCUGCGAGAGCAUCCUGUGUCGCUGUUGGCUUUCCGGCAAGCCUUCAGAGAGCCAACUACUCCAUUUUUCUUUUCCUUCUAUUUCCUCCAAGUUACAAGGUUAUAAAGCCACAUUCCUAGAACUCCCUGGGUAUCUCUCUUGUAUUAGGUUUUCCCCUUAGCCGCCAGUGUUCCUGGUUAGCCUUAGGUUCUUCUUGUAUCACGCUAGAACCCUUGAAUUCGUCCAAUAAAGUGGCUAAGAUUUGCGAGUUUCAGGAGUUGUUUCAGCGGAUAUUCUUACGCUCAUACUAUCGGGACAUCAAUCUGCAAGUGAUUAUCUGACCUUGUUUUGCUGAGGCAUAUGAGUGUAGGUAGCAUUGUUCCUCGCCAACACCGCCAGGGUCCGUGGAGACGACGACCAUCGCGAAAGCUGAAACAGAUGUUGCUCAACGUAGCUGAAGGUCUGAGGUGCUGCUGUGUUGAUCGGCAGAUCAUAUCAUUCCUAUCAAGCUUGAUGUUUGAUGUGGGCAUGAAUGCUCGGGGAAAGCUUAGUUUGCUUUGCUGAGCCGUGGGUGAUUUGUUUUCAGUACGGCCUUUUGCGCAUAAUGAC
This is a long non-coding RNA of Triticum aestivum (bread wheat), 1286 nucleotides long. RefSeq lists it as uncharacterized. The transcript has 3 exons. The record is from RefSeq and is a predicted model, not a curated record. NCBI's taxonomy places the organism in Eukaryota, Viridiplantae, Streptophyta, Magnoliopsida, Poales, Poaceae.